RNAcentral lists this ribosomal RNA (283 nucleotides) under uncultured bacterium. RNAcentral describes it as "partial 16S ribosomal RNA". It matches the Rfam family "Bacterial small subunit ribosomal RNA", at positions 335 to 636 of the family's 1533-position model. The record is from RNAcentral.
UGCCUACGGGGGGCAGCAGUGGGGAAUGUUGCACAAUGGGGGGAACCCUGAUGCAGCGACGCCGCGUGGGUGAAGAAGUCAUUCGUGACGUAAAGCCCUAUCAGCAGGGAAGAAAAUGACGGUACCUGACUAAGAAGCCCCGGCUAACUACGUGCCAGCAGCCGCGGUAAUACGUAGGGGGCAAGCGUUAUCCGGAUUUACUGGGUGUAAAGGGAGCGUAGACGGCGGCGCAAGUCCGGUGUGAAAGCCCACGGCCCAACCCCGGGACUGCUCUUGGAACUGC